Non-coding RNA from Dipodomys ordii (Ord's kangaroo rat), 56 nucleotides. The record is from Rfam. Lineage: Eukaryota; Metazoa; Chordata; Mammalia; Rodentia; Heteromyidae.
GGGAAGGUGGCUCAGUGGUAGAGCGCUUGCCUUGCAUGCCUGAGGCCCUGAGUUCG